RNAcentral lists this ribosomal RNA (200 nucleotides) under uncultured organism. RNAcentral describes it as "partial small subunit ribosomal RNA". It matches the Rfam family "Bacterial small subunit ribosomal RNA", at positions 1183 to 1382 of the family's 1533-position model. The record is from RNAcentral.
CGUCAAAUCAUCAUGCCCCUUAUGUCCUGGGCUACACACGUGCUACAAUGGAUGGUACAACGGGCUGCAAACUCGCGAGAGUGAGCCAAUCCCUAAAAACCAUUCUCAGUUCGGAUUGCAGGCUGCAACUCGCCUGCAUGAAGUCGGAAUCGCUAGUAAUCGCGGAUCAGCAUGCCGCGGUGAAUACGUUCCCGGGUCUU